Molecule: unclassified non-coding RNA, 277 nt
Filed under: Hevea brasiliensis (rubber tree)
Lineage: Eukaryota; Viridiplantae; Streptophyta; Magnoliopsida; Malpighiales; Euphorbiaceae
Source: RNAcentral
AAAAGAAAAAGAAAAAGAAAAAGAAAAAAUCUGCUAUCCUCAAGACGACCAUUAAAACCAGUUUUCUUAAAUUGCAGAGCUUUUGUGCAAAAUCAUCAUGCUUUUAAAAUUCAGCUGACCAAUUUUCGAUUAUUAUUAUUAUUACUAUCAUUAUUGCCUGCUCGCUGAUUUCCAUGGCUUCUCUUGUGGAAAUUGAGAGGUACAAUCUGAUACCACACUCAGUGACUUGUCUAUGUGCUCGCCCCUGCCGUCCUUUAUCGAAGAAAACCCUAAUUCA